UACGGGAGGCAGCAGUAGGGAAUCUUCCGCAAUGGACGAAAGUCUGACGGAGCAACGCCGCGUGAGUGAUGAAGGCUUUCGGGUCGUAAAACUCUGUUGUUAGGGAAGAACAAGUACAAGAGUAACUGCUUGUACCUUGGCGGUACCUAACCAGAAAGCCACGGCUAACUACGUGCCAGCAGCCGCGGUAAUACGUAGGUGGCAAGCGUUAUCCGGAAUUAUUGGGCGUAAAGCGCGCGCAGGCGGUUUCUUAAGUCUGAUGUGAAAGCCCACGGCUCAACCGUGGAGGGUCAUUGGAAACUGGGGAACUUGAGUGCAGAAGAGAAAAGCGGAAUUCCACGUGUAGCGGUGAAAUGCGUAGAGAUGUGGAGGAACACCAGUGGCGAAGGCGGCUUUUUGGUCUGUAACUGACGCUGAGGCGCGAAAGCGUGGGGAGCAAACAAGAUUAGAUACCCUGGUAGUCCACGCCGUAAACGAUGAGUGCUAAGUGUUAGAGGGUUUCCGCCCUUUAGUGCUGCAGCUAACGCAUUAAGCACUCCGCCUGGGGAGUACGGUCGCAAGACUGAAACUCAAAGGAAUUGACGGGGGCCCGCACAAGCGGUGGAGCAUGUGGUUUAAUUCGAAGCAACGCGAAGAACCUUACCAGGUCUUGACAUCCUCUGACAACUCUAGAGAUAGAGCGUUCCCCUUCGGGGGACAGAGUGACAGGUGGUGCAUGGU
Molecule: ribosomal RNA, 720 nt
Filed under: uncultured Bacillota bacterium
Lineage: Bacteria; Bacillati; Bacillota
Description: bacterial SSU rRNA
Rfam family: Bacterial small subunit ribosomal RNA
Source: RNAcentral